Molecule: unclassified non-coding RNA, 403 nt
Filed under: soil metagenome
Description: partial contains 5.8S ribosomal RNA, internal transcribed spacer 2, and large subunit ribosomal RNA
Rfam family: 5.8S ribosomal RNA (bases 5-120)
Source: RNAcentral
GAUGAGAACGUAGCGAAAUGCGAUAAGUAAUGUGAAUUGCAGAAUUCAGUGAAUCAUCGAAUCUUUGAACGCACCUUGCGCCCUUUGGCUAUUCCGAAGGGCAUGCCUGUUUGAGUAUCAUGAACACCUCAACUCUCAUGGUUUGCCAUGAUGAGCUUGGACUUUGGGGGUCUUGCCGGCCUAUGGGUCGGCUCCUCUCAAAUUAAUCAGCUUGCCAGUGUUUGGUGGCAUCACAGGUGUGAUAACUAUCUACGCUUGUGGUUUUCCAUCAGGUAACCUUCAGUGAUGGAGGUUCGCUGGGGCUCAUAAAUGUCUCUCCUCAGUGAGGACAGCUUUUUUGAACGUUUGAUCUCAAAUCAGGUAGGACUACCCGCUGAACUUAAGCAUAUCAAUAAGCGGAGGA